This 463-nucleotide ribosomal RNA is filed under the name uncultured bacterium. Its description in RNAcentral is "partial 16S ribosomal RNA". It matches the Rfam family "Bacterial small subunit ribosomal RNA", at positions 28 to 507 of the family's 1533-position model. The record is from RNAcentral.
GACGAACGCUGGCGGCGUGCUUAACACAUGCAAGUCGAACGGAAAGGCCUUUUCGGAGGUACUCGAGUGGCGAACGGGUGCGUAACACGUGGGUGAUCUUCCCUGCACUCUGGGAUAAGCCUGGGAAACUGGGUCUAAUACCGGAUAGGACCGCACUUUUGUGUGUGUGGUGGAAAGUUUUUUCGGUGUAGGAUGAGCCCGCGGCCUAUCAGCUUGUUGGUGGGGUAAUGGCCUACCAAGGCGGCGACGGGUAGCCGGACUGAGAGGUUGGUCGGCCACAUUGGGACUGAGGUACGGCCCAGACUCCGACGGGAGGAAGCAGGGGGGAAUAUUGCACAAGGGGCGCAAGCCUGAUGCAGCGACGCCGCGUGGGGGAUGACGGCCUUCGGGUUGUAAACUCCUUUCGCCAGGGACGAAGCGUUUUGUGACGGUACCUGGAGAAGAAGCACCGGCUAACUACGUG